GCUGGAUGCGCUGACCGAGAUAAAGGUGGAGAAAAGGAACACAGAGAAAUAUCCCUUCCUGACAACCUGUCUCAGUGACAGCGCCCAUUCCAGAACAAGAAAGAGGAACAAAGAGCACUGAGGAAUUCAUUUCAGAAAAUGCAAUGGAUGGACAGUGUGUCUUAUUAGAUCCAUUUAUAAUUUGUUAAGUGAUCACAACAAUUAUAAAUAUUUUUGAAGUAAAAAGUUUUACAUUUUACUAAUAUGACCAGGAAAAAUUUGUGUUCACAGAAGAAUUUACAGAGGAUUGUACAGGUAUAAUAAUUUCUUUCCUUAACAAAUUUGAAGAAAUGAUGAGAUGAAUUAUAAAUAUGUUGCAGUAUGGCAAUAAAAUAUUUAGCAGAUGCUGGUGGAUUAGAUGAAAAGUAAAAACUUUCAAAACAAUGAUGCUUAGGCUUUGCGUUUUGUUUUUUAAAUUUUAUAGAUGUUAAAAAUACUGGAUGCUAC
Molecule: non-coding RNA, 486 nt
Organism: Lonchura striata (white-rumped munia)
Lineage: Eukaryota; Metazoa; Chordata; Aves; Passeriformes; Estrildidae
Source: RefSeq, a predicted model, not a curated record